Molecule: long non-coding RNA, 834 nt
Organism: Poeciliopsis prolifica (blackstripe livebearer)
Lineage: Eukaryota; Metazoa; Chordata; Actinopteri; Cyprinodontiformes; Poeciliidae
Exons: 5
Source: RefSeq, a predicted model, not a curated record
GUAGGGACGCUGGGGAGAUCAAGGUCAGAAGAUGGUGAUGGUGAGCUUGCUUCUACUCUUCCCAUGAUGGCCAGUCAUCCUGAGACAGAAGCCGAAAACUUUUCAGAAGCUCCACAAACAGCUGUAGUACACAUGAUCCCUUCAACAGAAAAUUAUGCACUACCGUCUUCCACUGGAGAUGUAGGACAUCCCAAAGACCAGGUGUGUGAGGGAAAGCCAGAGCCCAGACUGCUGUACUGGGUUAUUUCUGUUUUGAACAGAAAUGGCCACAGAAAAAAAUGAGGACCUGGAGUGUGGCAAGACGGCCAGGUGAGACGGCUGCAGCUGGACGGGCAGAUGGACCAGGUGGGCUACAGACGUCGGUUGUAGGAGGACGGAGGUGGACUGGAGGUUUGGAGAUGGAGGACUGGCCCAAAAGGAGUACUGCUGAUCUGGACGCCGCAGAGGAGCUGGAGCCCAGCUGGAAGAGCGGGAAUUGCGGGAUCGCAGCUGGAGGUCUGUUGGGAACCGGAGGAUCGGUCGGCCUGGGAGCAGCAGAGGACUACAUCCCUUUCCCCUCCCUUGUUGUUGGGCCAGCUAAGACUCUCUCUCAGAUUUAAUCUGGAGAUGGAGGACUGGCCCCAAGGAGUGCUGCUGAUCUGGCGGCCAACUGUAGGAGUGGGGACUGCUAGGUCGCCGCUGGAGGUUCGCUGGGAACCGGAGGAUCGGUCGGACCUCUACUGGAAACAGUAGAGGACCGCGCCUCCUUUUCCCCGUUUUGGGCCAGUUAAGAAUCUCUCACAAACUUGUGUAUUGAUUUCUUGUCAGGAACUGUCUAUGCCUCCUUUUUUUAAC